Molecule: long non-coding RNA, 861 nt
Organism: Felis catus (domestic cat)
Lineage: Eukaryota; Metazoa; Chordata; Mammalia; Carnivora; Felidae
Exons: 3
Source: RefSeq, a predicted model, not a curated record
GGGGAGGGAGGCCAGGCUGUCCCUGUGGGUGGUCACCUGCACCAGUGCGUAGGCCUUCCGUGGUCGCCUCACCACCUCGAUGUGCUCCCGUGCCACCGGCAGCCCCAGCCGUUCCAGGGCGUCUCGCAGCAGGCAGGUCCUCCGGUGCCACGAGUCCCCAUCUUCCCCUGCGUGACCAAUCCCAGGCUCCGCUGAGCACUGAUGACCCAGCUACUCCCAAGACGGAUCUGAGCACACGCCGCUGGGCCCAGGGCUGCCCCGGACCCCAGGCCCCCUGCUCCACGCCAGAGACGGAGGUUGCUGUCCGGCCGGAGCCCUGAAAAAUAGGGACACUGAGGCAGAGGCUUGGCUGGGGAAGCCCAGAGAGGAGACCGAGGCCGUCAGGCGCAGCGUGAGGCUCUGGAAGAGCCUGGCAGGUGCCUUCCCCGUGCCCACCCCGGCAUGACGGCUGGGAGCUCCCCAUGCUCCCCCUCCUCUCUAGACUCUGCCAACACGAGCUGCUCUCACCGCAACCAUGCAGCAGGGGCUGUAGCUGCCGAAGAAGAAGGCUACGUGGGGUCGUGGCUGGCCAGGAGAGGCGCCCUGACGGACGGAACAUGUGAACAUGUGAACCAGAGGACGUGACUCACUUCUCCAGGGGCCUUGCUAUCGGGCAGUCUUUUGCGUGAGGUUUUCCACGCUGAUCUGUGCCCAAGCUCUCCGCACUCUUACUGGGGGUCUCUUUAAACACCUGCAUUACUGGGGCGCCUGGGUGGCUCAGUCGGUUGAGCGUCCGACUUCGGCUCAGGUCACGAUCUCACUGUCCGUGAGUUCGAGCCCCGCGUCGGGCUCUGUGCUUACUGCUCGGAACUUGGAGCCUGU